RNAcentral lists this ribosomal RNA (503 nucleotides) under Streptomyces sanglieri. Its description in RNAcentral is "bacterial SSU rRNA". It matches the Rfam family "Bacterial small subunit ribosomal RNA", at positions 80 to 595 of the family's 1533-position model. Lineage: Bacteria; Bacillati; Actinomycetota; Actinomycetes; Kitasatosporales; Streptomycetaceae. The record is from RNAcentral.
CUUCGGGGUGGAUUAGUGGCGAACGGGUGAGUAACACGUGGGCAAUCUGCCCUUCACUCUGGGACAAGCCCUGGAAACGGGGUCUAAUACCGGAUAACACUCUGUCCCGCAUGGGACGGGGUUGAAAGCUCCGGCGGUGAAGGAGGAGAGCCCGCGGCCUAUCAGCUUGUGGGGGGAUGUGGCCUAAACCAAGGCGACGACGGGUAGCCGGCCUGAGAGGGCGACCGGCCACACUGGGACUGAGACACGGCCCAGACUCCUACGGGAGGCAGCAGUGGGGAAUAUUGCACAAUGGGCGAAAGCCUGAUGCAGCGACGCCGCGUGAGGGAUGACGGCCUUCGGGUUGUAAACCUCUUUCAGCAGGGAAGAAGCGAAAGUGACGGUACCUGCAGAAGAAAAACCGGCAAAAAUUUUUGCAACCCCGGGGGAAUAAAGGUAGGGGGAGGCGUUGUCCGGAAUUAUUGGGCGUAAAGAGCUCGUAGGCGGCUUGUUGCGUCGGUUGU